This 385-nucleotide ribosomal RNA is filed under the name uncultured bacterium. RNAcentral's name for it is "bacterial SSU rRNA". It matches the Rfam family "Bacterial small subunit ribosomal RNA", at positions 775 to 1154 of the family's 1533-position model. The record is from RNAcentral.
AGUCAAUAGAUACCCGGGUAGUCCACGCCGUAAACGAUGAGUACUAGGUGUAGGAGGUAUCGACUCCUUCUGUGCCGCAGUUAAACACAAUAAGUACUCCGCCUGGGAAGUACGGUCGCAAGAUUAAAACUCAAAGGAAUUGACGGGGGCCCGGCACAAGCAGCGGAGCAUGUGGUUUAAUUCGAAGCAACGCGAAGAACCUUACCUAGACUUGACAUCUCCUGAAUAGCGCAGAGAUGCGUGAAGCCCUUCGGGGUCGAGGAAAACCAGGUGGUGCAUGGUUGUCGUCAGCUCGUGUCGUGAGAUGUUGGGUUAAGUCCCGCAACGAGCGCAACCCCUAUUAUUAGUUGCUACCAUUAAGUUGAGCACUCUAAUGAGACUGCCC